Small nuclear RNA from Callithrix jacchus (white-tufted-ear marmoset), 116 nucleotides. Lineage: Eukaryota; Metazoa; Chordata; Mammalia; Primates; Cebidae. The record is from Ensembl.
GUGUUCACUUAUGCAGCAUGUAUGCUAAAACUGGAAUAAUACUGAGAAGAUUAGCAUGAUUAGCAUGGCCCCUGUGCAAGGAUGACAUACAAAUUUGUGAAAAAUUCCAUAUGUUU